AGCGAUGGAGCAGGACGUACAGGAACAUACAUUGCCAUUUCAAACCUUCUUGAACGAAUGAAAAUUGAACAAACAAUGGAUGUCUUCCAAGCCAUAAAAAUCAUCAGAGGAACACGACCACAAUUUGUGGAAAAUGCCGUAAGUACAACCUAGCUUUGUUAGAAUUUAACCAACUGUUUUGAUAUGGGUACAUCCGCAGUUCUGUUUAUUUCAAAACUUUGGAGAGAACAUUUCUAUUGAUCCAGACAAGAAUUUUGGAAAAAUAUCUUUAAGUUUAUGAACAAGCCUUGGACUUUUCGUUAGUCUAUAGGAUUAAGUAAAUCGGCUUUUGAACAACUGGGCCCAGAAUUAUAACAAAAUUUACAUUGUUUUUUUCUCUAGGAACAGUACGAGUUCUGUUACACUGCCAUUAUGGCGUACCUGGAUGGCUUCAGUGACUACGCUAAUUUCGAGUAACCAACUAUAUCCCAGUAUAUAUUCAUAAUAAUAAAUUUCAAAAGAAGAAACUAACUUAGUUGUAUACGCUUAAAGCGAAAACUUGUCAUACGUAUUUUAAUAGUUUUAAAAACUUUAUUUUGGUCAUAGAUUUGUCAAUACAUAAACAGUACGAGUACUAGGACUUAAAAGAACUAAAAUUAAUUUGGAUAUUAAAUUAAUUGAAAUUAAUACAGGUUGUAAAAUAUAUAGAAGCAAUGCAUGCAUGCAUGUGAUAAUAUUUGUUGGAUGUUAAGUCUUUCACAAUUGCGUAUAUAUCUAAAUUUUUAAUAAAUUCUAAC
Paramuricea clavata is the source of this 776-nucleotide non-coding RNA. The record is from the annotation of a GenBank genome assembly. NCBI's taxonomy places the organism in Eukaryota, Metazoa, Cnidaria, Anthozoa, Malacalcyonacea, Plexauridae.